UUUAGUAACACAGGCGAAAAAAUCUUGACAACCAUGUCAGUUAUUUUUCUCAACGGUCGGACAAACACGCGUCGAAGAUUGUGCUUUCGGAAACAGAAGAGGAUCGAGAGGUUCGUGAAUUAAAACGAGUAGCAGUACGAGCGGCUUCAAAUUGCUAAAAAGCGGUCUCCGGAAAUUCGACUCUACUGGUGUGGUGAAAAUGGCGCUGCAUGACAAAAAAUGCAAUAAUUACCCAAAACGGAAACCCCAAUUAUGCUGCCGGCUGCCGAACACAGUGCAGCGCUUCCCGAGGCCUUCUAAACUGUCAUCCGAAGCCAAAACACCAGCAGCAAUCUGCUGUUUCUGGGGGAGCAGUUAGGCGAGUUUGUGAUAAGAAAAACUAUUGUCGAGACUACCGAAUUCGUAGCUACGCAUGUACGCUCCAACAACUGCACACAGUUUCCAUCGUAAUGAAUCGCUGAAAAACUUUAGGAAGUGACCCGAAUGGAUCUAAAUUUGAUUGUUAAAUUAUGGUUUCGAUUGUUAUAAGUUGAAGGAACUUUGAAUAAAAUUUC
Long non-coding RNA from Uranotaenia lowii, 554 nucleotides. RefSeq lists it as uncharacterized. The transcript is spliced from 3 exons. The record is from RefSeq and is a predicted model, not a curated record. NCBI's taxonomy places the organism in Eukaryota, Metazoa, Arthropoda, Insecta, Diptera, Culicidae.